CGGCGCACGGGUGCGUAACGCGUAUGCAACCUGCCUUAUACAGAGGGAUAGCCCAUGGAAACGUGGAUUAAUAUCUUAUAGGACUUAAGAAUCGCAUGGUUUUUAAGUUAAAACUACGGUGGUAUAAGAUGGGCAUGCGUCUGAUUAGGUAGUUGGUAGGGUAACGGCCUACCAAGCCGACGAUCAGUAGGGGUUCUGAGAGGAUUACCCCCCACACUGGUACUGAGACACGGACCAGACUCCUACGGGAGGCAGCAGUGAGGAAUAUUGGUCAAUGGGCGAGAGCCUGAACCAGCCAUCCCGCGUGCAGGAUGACGGCCCUAUGGGUUGUAAACUGCUUUUCUGCUCCAAGAAACCCUGUUACGUGUAGCAGGUUGACGGUAGAGUAGGAAUAAGCAUCGGCUAACUCCGUGCCAGCAGCCGCGGUAAUACGGAGGAUGCAAGCGUUAUCCGGACUCAUUGGGUUUAAAGGGUGCGCAGGUGGGAAUGUAAGUCAGUGGUGAAAUACUGCCGCUUAACGGUAGAGCUGCCAUUGAUACUGCGUUUCUUGAGUAUGGUUGAGGUAGGUGGAAUGUGUUGUGUAGCGGUGAAAUGCAUAGAUAUGACACAGAACGCCGAUUGCGAAGGCAACUUACUAAGCCAUUACUGACGCUGAGGCACGAAAGCGUGGGUAGCGAACAGGAUUAGAUACCCUGGUAGUCCACGCUGUAAACGAUGUUCACUCGCUGUCGGCGAUACACAGUCGGCGGCUGAGCGAAAGCAUUAAGUGAACCACCUGGGGAGUACGAUCGCAAGGUUGAAACUCAAAGGAAUUGACGGGGGCCCGCACAAGCGGAGGAACAUGUGGUUUAAUUCGAUGAUACGCGAGGAACCUUACCUGGGCUUAAAUG
This 890-nucleotide ribosomal RNA is filed under the name uncultured bacterium. RNAcentral describes it as "bacterial SSU rRNA". It matches the Rfam family "Bacterial small subunit ribosomal RNA", at positions 96 to 987 of the family's 1533-position model. The record is from RNAcentral.